GAUGAACGCUGGCGGCGUGCCUAAUACAUGCAAGUCGAGCGAACAGACGAGGAGCUUGCUCCUCUGACGUUAGCGGCGGACGGGUGAGUAACACGUGGAUAACCGACCUAUAAGACUGGGAUAACUUCGGGAAACCGGAGCUAAUACCGGAUAAUAUAUUGAACCGCAUGGUUCAAUAGUGAAAGACGGUUUUGCUGUCACUUAUAGAUGGAUCCGCGCCGCAUUAGCUAGUUGGUAAUGUAACGGCUUACCAAGGCGACGAUGCGUAGCCGACCUGAGAGGGUGAUCGGCCACACUGGAACUGAGACACGGUCCAGACUCCUACGGGAGGCAGCAGUAGGGAAUCUUACGCAAUGGGCGAAAGCCUGACGGAGCAACGCCGCGUGAGUGAUGAAGGUCUUCGGAUCGUAAAACUCUGUUAUUAGGGAAGAACAAAUGUGUAAGUAACUAUGCACGUCUUGACGGUACCUAAUCAGAAAGCCACGGCUAACUACGUG
Molecule: ribosomal RNA, 497 nt
Filed under: uncultured bacterium
Lineage: Bacteria
Description: partial 16S ribosomal RNA
Rfam family: Bacterial small subunit ribosomal RNA
Source: RNAcentral